AAAAUGGGAGGUAUAUUUCUUCUAAAGCUAAAUACCGGCCAGAGACCGAUAGCGCACAAGUAGAGUGAUCGAAAGAUGAAAAGCACUUUGAAAAGAGGGUUAAACAGCACGUGAAAUUGUUAAAAGGGAAGCGCUUGUGACCAGACUUGCGUCCGGUGAAUCACCCAGCUCUCGCGGCUGGGGCACUUCGCCGGCUCAGGCCAGCAUCAGCUCGCUGUCGGGGACAAAAGCUUCAGGAACGUAGCUCUCUUCGGGGAGUGUUAUAGCCUGUUGCAUAAUACCCUUCGGCGGGCUGAGGUACGCGCUCCGCAAGGAUGCUGGCAUA
Molecule: ribosomal RNA, 325 nt
Filed under: Colletotrichum siamense
Lineage: Eukaryota; Fungi; Ascomycota; Sordariomycetes; Glomerellales; Glomerellaceae
Description: partial large subunit ribosomal RNA
Rfam family: Eukaryotic large subunit ribosomal RNA
Source: RNAcentral